RNAcentral lists this ribosomal RNA (300 nucleotides) under uncultured bacterium. RNAcentral's name for it is "bacterial SSU rRNA". It matches the Rfam family "Bacterial small subunit ribosomal RNA", at positions 794 to 1086 of the family's 1533-position model. The record is from RNAcentral.
UCCACGCCGUAAACAAUGCGCACUGGGUCGGGGAGGUUUGACGCCUUCCUGGCCGAAGCAAAAGUGUUAAGUGCGCCGCCUGGGGAGUACGGUCGCAAGGCUAAAACUCAAAGGAAUUGACGGGGGCUCACACAAGCGGUGGAGCAUGUGGCUUAAUUCGAAGCAACGCGAAGAACCUUAUCCCAGGCUUGACAUCCAGGUAUUAGUCCUAUGAAAGUAGGAUGACAGUCGCAAGACCGGAACUUGGACAGGUGCUGCAUGGCUGUCGUCAGCUCGUGCUGUGAAGUGUCGGGUUAAGUC